Molecule: ribosomal RNA, 870 nt
Filed under: uncultured organism
Description: bacterial SSU rRNA
Rfam family: Bacterial small subunit ribosomal RNA
Source: RNAcentral
UAAGUCAGAGGUGAAAGGUUGCAGCUCAACUGUAGAAUUGCCUUUGAUACUGGAGCUCUUGAGUUAUGUUGCUGUGGCCGGAACAUGUGGUGUAGCGGUGAAAUGCAUAGAUAUCACAUAGAACACCGAUUGCGAAGGCAGGUCACAAAGCAUAUACUGACACUGAGGGACGAAAGCGUGGGGAGCGAACGGGAUUAGAUACCCCGGUAGUCCACGCCGUAAACGAUGGGUACUAGCUGUUGGGUUUUCGGACUCGGCGGCCAAGCGAAAGUGAUAAGUAUCCCACCUGGGGAGUACGUUCGCAAGAAUGAAACUCAAAGGAAUUGACGGGGGCCCGCACAAGCGGUGGAGCAUGUGGUUUAAUUCGAUGAUACGCGAGGAACCUUACCAGGGCUUAAAUGGGAGAUGACCGGGUCAGAGACGACCCUUCCUUCGGACAUCUUUCAAGGUGCUGCAUGGUUGUCGUCAGCUCGUGCCGUGAGGUGUCAGGUUAAGUCCUAUAACGAGCGCAACCCCUGCCGUUAGUUGCCAGCGAGUCAAGUCGGGGACUCUAACGGGACUGCCGGUGCAAACCGAGAGGAAGGUGGGGACGACGUCAAAUCUUCACGGCCCUUACGUCCUGGGCUACACACGUGCUACAAUGGUCGGUACAAUGGGAAGCCACCCCGUGAGGGGGCGCGGAUCUUAAAAGCCGAUCACAGUUCGGAUCGGGGUCUGCAACUCGACCCCGUGAAGCUGGAAUCGCUAGUAAUCGGAUAUCAGCCAUGAUCCGGUGAUACGUUCCCGGGCCUUGUACACACCGCCCGUCAAGCCAUGAAGCCGGGGGUGCCUGAAGUCCGUCACCGCAAGGAGCGGCCUAGGGCAAGACUG